RNAcentral lists this ribosomal RNA (463 nucleotides) under uncultured Staphylococcus sp. RNAcentral describes it as "bacterial SSU rRNA". It matches the Rfam family "Bacterial small subunit ribosomal RNA", at positions 46 to 491 of the family's 1533-position model. The record is from RNAcentral. Lineage: Bacteria; Bacillati; Bacillota; Bacilli; Caryophanales; Staphylococcaceae.
GCCUAAUACAUGCAAGUCGAGCGAACAGACGAGGAGCUUGCUCCUCUGACGUUAGCGGCGGACGGGUGAGUAACACGUGGAUAACCUACCUAUAAGACUGGGAUAACUUCGGGAAACCGGAGCUAAUACCGGAUAAUAUAUUGAACCGCAUGGUUCAAUAGUGAAAGACGGUUUUGCUGUCACUUAUAGAUGGAUCCGCGCCGCAUUAGCUAGUUGGUAAGGUAACGGCUUACCAAGGCAACGAUGCGUAGCCGACCUGAGAGGGUGAUCGGCCACACUGGAACUGAGACACGGUCCAGACUCCUACGGGAGGCAGCAGUAGGGAAUCUUCCGCAAUGGGCGAAAGCCUGACGGAGCAACGCCGCGUGAGUGAUGAAGGUCUUCGGAUCGUAAAACUCUGUUAUUAGGGAAGAACAAAUGUGUAAGUAACUAUGCACGUCUUGACGGUACCUAAUCAGAAAGC